This is a non-coding RNA of Lonchura striata (white-rumped munia), 165 nucleotides long. NCBI's taxonomy places the organism in Eukaryota, Metazoa, Chordata, Aves, Passeriformes, Estrildidae. The record is from RefSeq and is a predicted model, not a curated record.
GAAGGAUGGGAUGCUAUCCAGAGGGACCUGGAGAAGCUCAAGAGGAUUUUCCCAUGAAGGAGACUUUAUGAAGUUGUUCACCACUCCAGUCAAGCCUGUAGCUCCGCAUGGGGUUGUUGUGACCUAAGUAAGAUUCCAGCACUUCACCGUGUUGAACUUCUUAAA